Long non-coding RNA from Oncorhynchus tshawytscha (Chinook salmon), 1310 nucleotides. The record is from Ensembl. Lineage: Eukaryota; Metazoa; Chordata; Actinopteri; Salmoniformes; Salmonidae.
AUUUACCAGGUGGUCGCUUGGUGUCCUCCGUUGCAAUUGUUGCGUAAUCUCCAGCUGCAGUACUUUUCCAUUUGCUACUGAGGAGAAACCCAACUGCCACGAAGGAUUUAUCAUCGAAUAGAUAUGUGAAAAACACCUUGAGGAUGAUUCUAAACAACGUUUGCCAUGUUUCUGUCGAUAUUAUGGAGUUAAUUUGGAAAAAAGUUUGGCAUUGUAGUGAAUGAAUUUUCGUUGUUUGUUUUCUUAGCCAAAAGUGAUGAACAAAACGGAGCGAUUUCUCCUACACAAAUAAUCUUUUUGGAAAAAAUGAACAUUUGCUAUCUAACUGAGAGUCUCCUCAUUGAAAACAUCCGAAGUUCUUCAAAGGGAAUCAUUGACACGGCUGGCUAGCCUAUCUUCAAAGAAGCAUUUUCCAGAGGGAAUGGAAGUAGAAUAAACUCUGUAGUUCUGUUCAGGACUACAUGACAAGUCACUGGAUACUGGACGGAUACAGAGGAGAACAACAGUAGAAGAUGGGUGGGGACCCCUUUUGGACAAUCAGAGCCUUACAAGCAUGUCCCGCGAAAAGGCCCAACACCCUUUCCAAGAAGGCCUGAUUCCGACAGAAAUACACAAUGAACCAAGUCAUUUCACGUAAAUAUAUUCAUCGUUUCAUCGCAUAGCCGUACUCUUCCAUGACACCAUCACCCCCACUCCCCACUGACACAAGCUUAUGGAACCUGUUACAGUACAGUUAAAUUCAAAGAGUUUGUGCAAGUCCGAGGUCGUUAACAUGUUGUAAAAUCACAGCGACAGAGUGGUUCUUUGACAAUGGAACAAAUUUGGGGGCUUUUAGCUUUAAAAUGUUUUUUUUUGAAAAAAGGGAUUUUUGCAAAUGCAUCGUCUAGGAAGAAUUGGUCUGUAAGGCCGAUGCUUAACCAUCAGAUUUAUAUGGCGAGAAGAGGCAGGCAAGCAUGGCACUUAGUGACAUAAUGGAAGAUAACAUUUUCCCUCCAUUUUUAAGCCAUUUGAAAUAUUAGGCCCUAAUGGCACUUUAAAAUGUUUUUUUUUUCUUCACACUUCAAAUAUGAGUCUUAUCAAUGGAAUAAACAUAACUGCAAUUGGUUUGAAAUGCACUUUACAUUAAGUGUGCUUUCUUUGUAUGGGAUACCAUCUCAUGCCUAUCAUUUUACAAGUCUGCAAAACUCAAACGGAACUCUUAUGUCUCUUAAUGGGCAGUGAGUGCUUUACGAUGAUAUCCUAGUGGAGUGCACUAAGUACCUAUCAGUUUAAAGCUUGGCACACACAAUUGGAAAUGAUAAGGAGACGAG